RNAcentral lists this microRNA precursor (208 nucleotides) under Oryza brachyantha (malo sina). RNAcentral's name for it is "MIR812 microRNA precursor family". It matches the Rfam family "MIR812 microRNA precursor family". The record is from Rfam by way of RNAcentral. Lineage: Eukaryota; Viridiplantae; Streptophyta; Magnoliopsida; Poales; Poaceae.
AAUAAAUUAAUUUUUCAGUUUUUAGAUAUAAUGCUUUGAUUCUUCGUCUUAUUUGAAUUUUUUUGAGAUUAAUAUUUUUAUUGUUACUAGAUGAUAAAAUAUGAAUAGUACUUUACGCGUGGAUAGUUUUUUUAAGUUUUUUUAUAAAUUUCCAAAAUAAGACGAAUGGUUAAAGCGUUGGACACAGAAAUCGAAAAAUAAAGCUAUU